CUUAGUUGUGCUUUCCUUCCUUGCAACUGUUACAAUUAAUAUCUUAUAAUAAGCUCUCCUUUUCCAGGUUCGCUGUAGGCUUUGUAAAGAAAAAAAAUACUUCCAUGCAACAUGUGGAUGUUCCCUGCAUCCUGCUGUCGAAGAGAAUAAUGACCAAUCGCAAAACCAAAACAAAGUCAGCUUGGAAUACAAUUUAAGAAAAGACCCCCAGAAGAUAUGCACCAUGUCUGAAGUCAAGAAAACAAGACACAUCUCCAGACCAGUCAUUAACAGACAGUGUAUCUUGGCUUUAUGAGAGUGUGCAAGCUCAUACUGAACAGUGUAAGAAGCUUGUGAAUGCAUUAUGCCAGUUAUGUCCAGGGAGAGUGUUGAUAAAAGGAACUGCAAACAUAUUGGG
Molecule: long non-coding RNA, 397 nt
Organism: Saccostrea echinata
Lineage: Eukaryota; Metazoa; Mollusca; Bivalvia; Ostreida; Ostreidae
Exons: 4
Source: RefSeq, a predicted model, not a curated record